RNAcentral lists this transfer RNA (72 nucleotides) under Camelus bactrianus (Bactrian camel). It matches the Rfam family "tRNA". Rfam says of the family: Transfer RNA (tRNA) molecules are approximately 80 nucleotides in length. Their secondary structure includes four short double-helical elements and three loops (D, anti-codon, and T loops). The record is from Rfam by way of RNAcentral. RNAcentral also lists the same sequence under 2 other names. Lineage: Eukaryota; Metazoa; Chordata; Mammalia; Artiodactyla; Camelidae.
GAGGGUGGAGCUCAGUGGCAGAGCGUGUGCUUAGCAUGCACGAGGUCCUGGGUUCAACCCCCAGUACCUCCA